Molecule: long non-coding RNA, 2501 nt
Organism: Mus musculus (house mouse)
Lineage: Eukaryota; Metazoa; Chordata; Mammalia; Rodentia; Muridae
Product: predicted gene, 52105
Exons: 2
Source: RefSeq, a predicted model, not a curated record
AGGUCUUACACAAUCCUAAAUGGAAAGAUUUGCUGAGCUGAAGGUAAAUGAGCCCUGUGUGGAGCAGUCCUGGAAGGCUAGAAUUGUGUGUUGGGACAAAGAGCGACAACAGUAACUAACUCUUAUUGUCUCAGUCCUUCUGGUAAGGAGGAAGCUAAGCAACUGACAGAGUCACACAGCGAGUGGUCGCAGACCAGGAGGGAGAGGCGACAGGGAGGAGGAUGUCACCAAAGAUAACACCGAGGAUUCUGAGGACCCAGGGGAGGCAAAGUGAUUUCAAGUAUGUCCUGGUAUGUCCCAGGAAGUCAGGAAGACGGUGUGAUGGAUGGUCACGGCGACAAAGCAGGAAGCUGUGUACUCCGUCCCAAUCCUGUUCCAUGUGAAUUACUGUCCAGGAUAGUGAAAUGUGGCCGGCAGUGGAAGGAGCCCAGAGCGUUACCUGCGCAGUUCAUCCACAGACCCUGGUAAACCCAGGUGGCGGUAAUCACAGACGACGCUCGGGUGGUCACUUUCCAUUCGUUGGAUGUGGUGGCAGCGACGAGAGCACCAAACCCUCCAACACCACACACCAGAGCUGAGAUCUGUGCCCUGGACAUGUCGCUCAGCCUUGCCUGCUGCCACAGUCCACACAGAAGGCUUUGGUGGCCUAGGCAUGCAGACACUGGACAAAACUUCCACGAAUGUUAAAGCCAGCCCAUGAGGGUAGGUGACAAUUCUUCAUAAUCUCAUGGCUUGAAGUGUGGGAAAUUAGAAUAAAGUAUAUCACACUAAGGGCAUCUUAGAGAUAGCUUAGAAUAAUCUUUCUAAUUCCCUACUGAAAUACCAAAACUUUGUAGAGGAAUCUUGAAGGUGUUGGUACUGCAGAUAUUUUUUUCUCUUGUUAGCAGCAUAGUUAAUGCUUAAUUUCCUGUUAGCUUGAAAGUUAGCGAACCAUGCAAUGAUCAAAUAUUACAAAGUACAGAUUAUACAGUAACAUUUAAAGGCUCCUUAUUUGACCAAUUUCUUUACGUUUACACGUUGUUGAGGCUUUACAUAAGUGGAGUCACGCUGUAAGGAUUCUCCUGUAACCUCUUUAAUUAGUCUCAUGUGUGUGUGUGGAUUUAUCUGUGUUCACAAGUGUGGCUAUCAAUCAUCUGACAGCUGGAUAUGUUAUUUCAGUAAAGGCUUACACCACAAUGCAUUCACUUUCUUUGAGAUGAAUAUUGGUCCUGUUUUUCUCCUCAGUUUCAAGUAGCCACACUCAAACAUGACUGUGAAUUUUCUCUUGUGGCCCCUAGAGAGGGGUCCCAAGGAUGUAGCUUAGAAGGUGACUUGCCAGUGUGCUGGAAACACAUCUUCCUAGAUGAUUCUGGAUUACCCGCCUCUGUAAAUCCAGCACUCAUCCAGUCAUCAUAAUGAGUGAGUUCUCGUGGCUCUGAUUCCUAAUUCUUGGCGUUGUGGCACUAACAGAAUUUUAACAUUCUAGCCAACUUGAUUACAGUUUCAGAGAUUGUAUUAUGUCCACUGAUUCAUAUUUGUCAUUAUAAAUGAGGCUGGAGUACCUGUUUUGUGCAAUCGCUGAUUUAACCAUGGUUUUUCAUCUGUCCUGAAGGGUGACAUAUUUUGCUUGUUAAUCUGGUGCACUGUUUAAGUUGUUCAAUUUGUUUUUAAUUUUAUAAAUUUGGGAAAAUUAUCUUUCAGUGUUAUGCUAUACAUUUCUUUGUGGUUUGUCUGUAGGUGGACUUUUGAAAAAAUCUUUACUUUUAAAAUAUCUCUCUCUCUCUCCCUCUCUCUCUCUCUCUCUCUCUCUCUCUCUCUGUCUCUCGGGGUUGGGGGCACACAUGUACUACAUGUGGAGGUCAGAGGACGGCUAUAGUGAUCGUCUUCAUUUUCCACUUUGUAGGAAUGUUGCUUUGCCACAGAAUUCCCCAGACCAGCUUGCCUGUGAGCUCACAGGAGUCUCCUGUCUCCGUCUCCUUCCUCUGUACCUUUAAAGUUCUAGUUUUCACAUCUCCAUUCUCACAUAAUCCGGGGUUGGUUGUCUCCUGUGUCGUGACAUGUGAUGUGUUUUACUUCUUGAUAAAGAAAGGAGAAUUCUAAACUUCUUUAUCAGGUAGCCUCUUGUUUCUCUGUGGAUUUGCCACAUUUCCUCCCUCCGAUCUGGUUCCAAUAUUUGUAUGGCCUGUUUUUGUAUUCUUCUUUUUUCUCUCCUUUGGUCACCCCAAAUCAUUCAAUAUGCCUAUUUACGUAUGCAAAUUUUAUAAAUAUACUUAAAAGGUUUUUUUGGUGAAUCUUACUUUGCUUUUCUUUCCCCCCAAAUGUUCUUUGCUAUUCUUUCUGUAAAAUGAAGUAUUAACUUAUGUGUGUACACGCAUCCUCGAAUGAUCAUCGGUACUUAAUUUUCUCUUCUGCAUCCGUUCAUCAAUAUGAAGAAGACACGACAAAUUUGGAUCUCCUCUUCAUAAACAAUAUGUAUAACACUAUGCAUCUGUUCAUAUACUUAUCCAUCAUUUUUCUUUAAA